AACAUUUUCCCAAUGAAUACAUAGAGAUGGCCAAGAGGUACAAAAAAAGAUGCUCAACAUCAGUAACCAUCGGGCAAAUGCAAAUCAAAACUAUGAUGAGAUAUCAUCUCAUACCUGUUAGAAUG
This is a long non-coding RNA of Leopardus geoffroyi (Geoffroy's cat), 125 nucleotides long. RefSeq lists it as uncharacterized. The transcript is spliced from 3 exons. The record is from RefSeq and is a predicted model, not a curated record. Lineage: Eukaryota; Metazoa; Chordata; Mammalia; Carnivora; Felidae.